UAUGGAGGGGGCUAGCGUUAUUCGGAAUUACUGGGCGUAAAGCGCACGUAGGCGGAUCGGAAAGUCAGAGGUGAAAUCCCAGGGCUCAACCUUGGAACUGCCUUUGAAACUCCCGGUUUUGAGGUUGUGAGAGGUGAGUGGAAUUCCGAGUGUAGAGGUGAAAUUCGUAGAUAUUCGGAGGAACACCAGUGGCGAAGGCGGCUCACUGGCACGAUACUGACGUUGAGGUGUGAAAGCGUGGGGAGCAAACAGG
Molecule: ribosomal RNA, 253 nt
Filed under: uncultured bacterium
Lineage: Bacteria
Description: partial 16S ribosomal RNA
Rfam family: Bacterial small subunit ribosomal RNA
Source: RNAcentral